RNAcentral lists this long non-coding RNA (461 nucleotides) under Olea europaea (common olive). RNAcentral's name for it is "long non-coding RNA (OEUR_LNC005448)". The record is from RNAcentral. Lineage: Eukaryota; Viridiplantae; Streptophyta; Magnoliopsida; Lamiales; Oleaceae.
UCUCACCUGCUAUGCAUCAGCUAUAAGGACUUUGGCCACAUCUCUUCCAAAUGUCCUAACCGAGCCUUAGUCAUAGAAGAACGAAAGGAUGUAAUAGAAGAGUCGUUAGAAGAUCUAGUCUAUGAGUAUAAACUUGAAGAUUUUGAUGACUUGGAUGAUAGUGAGGACACUUCCUUAAGUGGAAUCCCGACCCUUCCCGAGACUUUAGAAACUAUACACCUUGUUUCCGACAACUCUUGAUCACAUGUUAUAUAUCAUACCCUUACCCAACUCAAAGAGUUUGAUGAUUUCACUAGUCACCCUUGGAGAAUCCAGUCGCCUGUUCUUAGCACUAAAUCGAAAUUCUCCACUACUGACCAACCUCAAACUAAUGGUCAAAACGAAAUUGCUAACCGAAGUCUUGGCAAUUUAUUACAGUCUCUAGUGUAGAAAAAUCUUGAGGAUUGGGACUCGAUCCCCCC